Long non-coding RNA from Eubalaena glacialis (North Atlantic right whale), 1121 nucleotides. RefSeq lists it as uncharacterized. Lineage: Eukaryota; Metazoa; Chordata; Mammalia; Artiodactyla; Balaenidae. The record is from RefSeq and is a predicted model, not a curated record. The transcript has 6 exons.
UGGCGGCGGUGGCGGCGGUGGCGGCGGCAGCCCGGGGGGAGGGGGCGGAGCGCGCGGCCCGCUCCCUCUCUCCUCCCCCGGGAGGCGGAGGAGACCCUAUCUCGGGCCGCCGCGCCUAGGCCCGUGGACAGCCUGCGGCAGGGGCAUGGCGGCCCCGAGCAGCGGCGUGCCUGCGAGUGGUUUCUGUAGCGGCGCUGAACCGGAACACCCCAGACGCUUUCUCUCGGUGAGGGGGUGAGCUGGUAGUCAGCCCAUUCCUCACACGCGGAAACUGAGGCCUGCGGAGAGGCGGCCCCGGACAGAGAUGAGGAAAGUCAGGAAGAUGCGAAUGAGGCCCAGAAAGUUUUGUGCUGAGAUUUGAAGAAGGAGAAGUAAAAGAAGGCGGAAUGCUUACCCUGGGAGGGGAACGGCAGCGACAGAGCAAGUCUCAGGAAGGGCCUGGAGUGUGUGAGGGCAGGUGCACAAGUCAUCACCGGAAAAUCUUUGGGAUACAGUAUACAAAGUGAGGAGCUGCCAGUGCUGGAAGGACGGGUCCCAGAAGAACUUACUUAUCUUCGAACUAGAAGUUUGUACCUUUUGACUGCCUUCACCCCAGUUUCUCCACCCCGCCCCCAGCCUCUAGCAACCACCAACCUCUUCUCUGCUUCUGCUGAGCUGCUUGGCUUGCGGGAUCUCCAUUCCUCGACCAGGGAUUGAACUCAGGUCACGGCAGUAAAAGUGCUGAGUCCUAACCAUUGGACUGCCAGGGAAUUCUUUGGGAAUUACUUUUGAUCUUGAAAGACUUUUGCUUUUUGGAUGUAUUUAGACCCUGUCUGCCUUGUUUAUAUAGAGUAGGACAUCUUCCUAUUAUAAGUGCUCAUCGGUACCCUCUAUGAAGGCAUGGGACUAAAAAAAGGGGUUAAUGAGAAGGGAAUAAAAAGAACUGGGGUAUCUUUUCUGGUCUUCUUGAAGAUAAUCCCAUGACAUACAUGCCAGAGAUUAAAAAAUAGAGGCUAAUAUUGAGCAGAAUGGCCUAGAAUAAAGAGCCUUGCAUUGGACAAUAUGAUUUCCGUAAGCAUUUGGUCUACAUUGGCCUCGGUUACUUUGUCUGUAAAAUGAGGCUAAUAAUAAUUAACCUAAGU